GAGAGCUACCAGCUAUCCCAUGAUGCAAGCUUAGCCAAUCCAAGCUCUUCUUUGGGUGGUACUAGAGGCAGUAAAUCAGGAAAGGGCUCAUCCAGUUUCCUCUGAUGUCACCAACACCCUUUCAUAGUGGAGGAAGCCUGUCUGAAGCACCAGAGUAGCCAGAAGGAGAAGAGGAGAGAAGGUCCAAAUACCUACAUCCAGAUCUACUCACGUUUGCUCCAGAUAGAGGUUUGUCACAACCCACAGGUUGAGAACCGCUGCUUUAGAACAUCCUGCAUCUUAAAAUGGACUGUUUCAUCUCAGAGGAAAUUGCUACAUGACAAGUGCCAAGUAACCUUUCCUGCUAAGUGUGGCUAUUCUUUCGCGUUCCAGGAAAGCUGGAGAUGGUAGCUUCCUAAGGAGUAAUGGCAAUGAAGACUUUUCCUAUCUUACUACAUCAUUCGGUC
RNAcentral lists this long non-coding RNA (446 nucleotides) under Cricetulus griseus (Chinese hamster). RNAcentral describes it as "lncRNA (ENSCGRG00015030812.1)". The record is from RNAcentral. Lineage: Eukaryota; Metazoa; Chordata; Mammalia; Rodentia; Cricetidae.